This 1500-nucleotide long non-coding RNA is filed under the name Anas platyrhynchos platyrhynchos (common mallard). Its description in RNAcentral is "lncRNA (ENSAPLG00000019379.1)". The record is from RNAcentral. Lineage: Eukaryota; Metazoa; Chordata; Aves; Anseriformes; Anatidae.
GUUAGAUCGCUGGUCUCCCUCUUCAUUUUCCAGUCAAUAAACAAGAGUGAAAAACUUCCUUGCAGCAGAUCCUCUCCAGUGAUGUCUCCCACAGCAUUAUUCAGUCAAUGUCCUCAGCAGGCAAUGAUUCAGGAUGCACUGGGCCUGAAGGAUCCCAGUGCACUUAUGAAUACUUCAAUUCAUUACUGGAACGAAUUCUUUUCCCAAUAAAUCAGGAGGUAAGUCUAACAGAAGUCAAAGUUCAGAAUUAUUAUAGACAAGAAAAGAAUGUGUUUUUUCUUUCUUUCCUUUUUUUUUUUUUUUUUUUUUCUUUCCUCUUAGAAAUGCAAUUGUGUUAUUAUAUUUGUUAAAAAACAUUUUGAUGUGCUCUCCUUUAUGGGACCAAUGUGUCUAUAUAUAUUUGAAAUGAACCAAUUUUAUUCAUGGCUCUAUACUGAUUAUAAGGAAAGACUCUGGGAGAGGGAAACUGCAGUUCUGAAAGGCAGUCACAAGCCUUCUAGAAGUUGCACUCUUGCUAAACUAGUAAUUAGUAGGUAAUUUCAUGUGUUACUGAGUGAGGCUGGUAAGGUGUGGGUUAUGAGGGAGAUAUAAUGACGACUUCUGGGCUUGUAACUCAUAUUUCUUUCUGUUCUUUUGCUUUUUAUGGAGGUUAUAACUGAAGCUAAUUUUCUAUGGGUGUUGUAAUAUCCAAAUAGAGCACAUGACUGAGAAAUGCUGUAAGUUUAAAGUAGGUGCAGCUAUAAAGAGACUAGAGGAAAGAGACUACAAAUGUGUUAACAUCUUGGGGGAGGAGGGCUCCAAAACCUGGACAGCUGGAAAUAUGAAGAUAGAGGUGUUGAGGGGUAUUACAAGAAGGCUGAGGAAACCCUAGGAAAGAUGGGGACGUAUGAUGCUGUUUAGGCUGCAGCAUAUUUCAGAGGUAAGACAGAUAUGGGAGAAUGUGUUUGCCUAUCUAACUACUUUUAAAGGAGGUCUCAUUCUGCAAGAGGAGGAAGACUAGGAUACUUCUUGAAGUACACCAACCCAGGAGAGGAGAGGGGAGGAGAAGAGAGCCUUCCUGCUGCAGGAAGGAAGAAGGUUAAAGAUGCCAAAGCAGCACACUGGAACAAGUCUUGAUGUCUCAAGUGCAGAGUCUCAUACAUUCUGUGUGUCUUAAUCAGACUGUGCCAGGAACAUAUUGCCUUAUAAAAUAUCAUAGUUUCUGUGACAUGUAGGUUCAGUAUUCUAAGACUGUAUUUUUGAGAAUUAAAUCAAUAAGACUCUUAGGUGAGACAAACUUGUGUAUUUACCUUGAUUAUCACAAAAAGAGUUUUCUGUCCUUCUUGUCAUAUAGAAAAUACUUGAGUCUUGUGGAAUUUCCAAGGAUAAAAUACAGAUCAUUCCAGAAUGAGCAGAAACUGCUGAAAACAUCAGUUUUGAAAACAUUGUUCUCCUUUUAAAACAUUUAGAAACAAUUAAAAUGAUUAAUAGGUUUUAAAAAUAAAUUUCCUAUGGCUUUCA